AGAGUUUGAUCCUGGCUCAGAUUGAACGCUGGCGGCAUGCCUAACACAUGCAAGUCGAACGGUAACGCGGGGGCAACCCUGGCGACGAGUGGCGGACGGGUGAGUAAUACGUAGGAAUCUGCCCAUUUGUGGGGGAUAACCCAGGCGAAAGCCGGGCUAAUACCGCAUACGCUCUACGGAGGAAAGCGGGGGAUCGUAAGACCUCGCGCGAAUGGAUGAGCCUACGUCGGAUUAGCUAGUUGGUGGGGUAACGGCCUACCAAGGCUGUGAUGGGUAGCUGGUCUGAGAGGAUGAUCAGCCACACUGGGACUGAGACACGGCCAGACUCCUACGGGAGGCAGCAGUGGGGAAUAUUGCGCAAUGGGGGAAACCCUGACGCAGCGACGCCGCGUGGGUGAUGAAGAGCCUUUCGGGGUC
Molecule: ribosomal RNA, 417 nt
Filed under: uncultured soil bacterium
Lineage: Bacteria
Description: bacterial SSU rRNA
Rfam family: Bacterial small subunit ribosomal RNA
Source: RNAcentral